This 376-nucleotide unclassified non-coding RNA is filed under the name uncultured Gammaproteobacteria bacterium. RNAcentral describes it as "contains 16S-23S intergenic spacer region". The record is from RNAcentral. Lineage: Bacteria; Pseudomonadati; Pseudomonadota; Gammaproteobacteria.
UCCGGUUUGUCACCGGCAGUCUCCCUAGAGUGCCCAACUAAAUGUAGCAACUAAGGACAAGGGUUGCGCUCGUUGCGGGACUUAACCCAACAUCUCACGACACGAGCUGACGACAGCCAUGCAGCACCUGUGUUCCGAUUCCCUUUCGGGCACCCCCACCUCUCAGCAGGGUCUCGGACAUGUCAAGGGUAGGUAAGGUUUUUCGCGUUGCAUCGAAUUAAUCCACAUCAUCCACCGCUUGUGCGGGUCCCCGUCAAUUCCUUUGAGUUUUAAUCUUGCGACCGUACUCCCCAGGCGGUCAACUUCGCGCGUUAGCUGCGGUACUGAAAGAUCGCUCCUCCAACACCUAGUUGACAUCGUUUAGGGCGUGGACUAC